Molecule: ribosomal RNA, 4526 nt
Filed under: Triticum aestivum (bread wheat)
Lineage: Eukaryota; Viridiplantae; Streptophyta; Magnoliopsida; Poales; Poaceae
Description: partial small subunit ribosomal RNA
Source: RNAcentral
UAUGAAGAAUGUUCUUAUUUUGGUGUCGGUUAAGGUAGGUCGGAUGGAUCGAUCAGUACCUCUACCUAGAUGGUGGGUUUUACGAACGGAGAGAGUGGUAGUGGUAUGAUUAAUACUAGUACCGGUGGAGGCAGCGUGAACGCAGCAGCCUACGUCGCCACGAGCUUCCUGUUCGUUCUCGUGAGGAGCAGACCUUUCUAUCGUAGCUGUUGGUUUCGGUCGUCCGGGACGCGAGGACCCCUUUGUGCGGUCGCGGGACGUUAACCGCACCGUAGUGGACACCAUGGCCACACGUGGCCGUGGCCGGUCACUAGUUGCUGUAGAGAGACGCCCCCUACGCCGAUUCUCCCCGAGACCUCAGGGAGUUGAAGAGCCGGAACUCCUUGAACUGUGCGGAGCUGGAGAGUGUGUUGGAGGAACGACCCUCGUAAGGAGGAUCAUAGCUCCAGGAACCGCUCGAGGUACGAGAGGAAGACGUUCCGUUGGUCUAUUCUCCGAGUUAGGGUGAUCCAGAUCCUUUAGAGUGUUUUAACGUAAGGAAUUACGAAGUGCUUUUACUAGAAAGGCCACUUUAUGGUUCGGUUUAUCCGUUGUACUCAUCAGAACAGUGAGAGUUGAACAGUUCGUUAGUGAACCAACCAGUAUAGGGAACACUUUAUCCUGUCAUUUCGUGAAUCAACGUAAUCUAAACGGGUCAUUAUUAGAUAAGCCAUUUUAUGGUUCGUCGUAUCGUCCACCAAACUGGCUUGAGUGAUCAAACAUGGAAAUGUCAUUGUUUGAAAGACCUGUUUUAGGUGUUCUUCCAAUAGAAGAUUUGAAUUUCCUGGAUGUUGAACCGUAGUUGCGUGAGAGUCCAAGGCAGGGUGCUUUAAAUGUAUUAAACUGGUUCGAAUGACACAAUUAUGAUACCCCUUUGUUUGAAAGACCCAAUUAAGGUGUUUUUAUCUAAUUGACAGUUUAAAUAUCAUGGACUCAGAAUCACUUUUGUAUGAGAGCCCAAGGUAGGGUUUAUAAUAUCCUUUAAACUGGUUUGAGUGUUGGAACAGGGAAGCGUUGUUGGUUGAAAGACCCAAUUAAGGUUUUUUCAAUCUAACGGAAAGUUUGAAUGUCAUGGACUCAGAAUCACUUUUAUAUGAGAGCCCAAGGUAGGGUUUAUCAUAUUCUUUAAACUGGUUUGAAUGUUGGAACAGGGAAGUGUUGUUGGUUGAAAGACCCAAUUAAGGUGUUCUUAAUCUAAAGGAAUGCUUGAAUCUCAUGGACCUAGAAUCACUUUUGUAUAAGAGCCCAAGGUAGGGCUUAACGUAUCCUUUAAACUGGUUUGAGUGUUAGAAAAUGGAAAUGUCGUUGGUUGAAAGACCCGUGUAGGGAGCUCUUGAUCCAGCGGAACACUUGAAUCUCCUAAACCUCGAAUCGCUGUUGUGUGAUUGACCAAGGUAGGGUUUAUCGUAUCCUUUAAACUAAUUUGAGUGUCGUAACAUGGAACUGUCGUUGGUUGUAAGACCUGUGUAGGGAGCUCUUGAUCCAAUGGAACCCUUGAAUCUCCUCAACUUAGAAUCGUUGUCGUGUGAUUCUCGUUCAUGUUAUCUCGACUCAGUCGCCCGACAUUGCUUAUUUGAUCAUAUAAAGACGAAUCAACCUCCUUUCUCUUCUCCUAUCUCUUCCAUUCGCCCGAGAAGCACUUCUCGGUCGAGAUCGUGCACGAGAAUCCGUGAAACACUCUUACUUUCCACCCGGUAUAUUAUUUUUUCAUUAUGUGAGAAAACUAGAUAAUAACAUGUACAACUGAUAUUCUAUCCGACAUCUACUGUACUGUGACCGAAUAUCCGUCGUCGACUGAUAUGAUAAUUGGUACGAGAUUAUCCAAGGUAGGGUUUAUCGUAUCCUUUAAACUGGUUUCAGUGAUAGAAUUUAGAAAAGUACUUGCUUUAAAGACCUGUGCAGGGAGCUCUUGAUCCAGCGGAACACUUGAAUACCCUAAACUAGAACCGGCAUUGUACGAUUGACCAAGAUAGGGUUUAUCGUAUCCUUUAAACUGUUUUGGGUGUUGGAACAUGGAAUCAUCGUUGGUUGAAAGACCUGUGUAGAUAGCUCUUGAUCCAGCGGAACUCUUGAAUCUCCUGAACUACGAAAUGUUGUUGUGUGAUUAUCCAAAGUAGGGUUCAUCGUAUGCUUUAAACUGGUUUGAGUGUUCAAACAUGGAGCUAUUAUUGGUUGAAAGACCCGUGUAGGGAGCUCUUGAUCCAAUAAAUCAGUUAAAUCUGAUGAACAUAGAAUCGAUGUUGUGUGACUGUCCAAGGUAGGGUUUUCUGGAUCCGUUAGAGUGUCUUGAGCAACCGAACAUGGAACUUUUAUUGGUUGAAAGACCAGUGUAAGGGGCCCUUAAUCCAAUAAACCAGUUGAAUCUCAGGAACAGAGAAUUUUUAUUAAGUGAUUGACCAGGGUAGGGUUUAUCGGAACCGUUAGACUGUUUUGAUAUACUUAACAUGAAACCGGUCUUGGUUGAAAGACCCGUUUAAAGUACUCUUAUCCAACCAACAACUUAAACCUCAUGGAUCUCGAAUUGUUGUUGUGUGAAUUGUGUAUAAAGUAGUGUUUGUCGGAUCUAACAGAAGGUCAUCUUAAUAGAAACACCUUUUAAAGUGUUCUUCGUCUUCCACGUGGUAGGAGUAGGUGGGGACGACGACGAGGAGAGGGAGUGCCUUGCCCUCGUUUGGGGACGCGGUCGAGGCGACGGCACCGUGUUCGUGCAGGAGUGGCACCGGGUGAGGCGGACGAGGAGAGGACGUGAGCAGGAGGAGCGUUUCUUUUUUCGGGUGUGGGAGCGGCGACCCAGUGAGCUGUGGCCGCGCGAGUGGUCGCUGAUCCGGUGGCGGCGGCACCGCGGGCGUGGCCACCGGGACCGGGAGCGGCGGAAGAAGCUGACGACGUGCUGGGGAGUGCGGACACGGUGGUUGCAGCAACGGCGCGAGAGUACGCUCCUGCGCGCGGACCCGGCAGGGCCUUCGCGGGCGGCGCAGGUUCCUGUCCCGGCUGCAGCGGUGGUUGGAGUCCUCCGAGGAUGAUCCCAGGAGGUUGGCGCGCCGGUAGUCGCCAGAGCAAGAGGUUCCACGGGCGGCACGUGCCCCGGAAGGCCCUAAGCCGCACCCGGGAGGUGCGGACCCACGUGCUGCUCGAGUUGCCAGGCCAUGACUUCGAGCCCUUGGUUCCUCCUCUGAAACUACGACUACUGUGACCACGUGAGCUACACGUUGGAGUCGCGGCGAGCCCGUGACGAAGAAGGCACGAUUACGAGGUAGCCGUAGUACGAUGACUACCUUUCCCGCAAGAAGGGCACCUAAGAGGUCAACAAUUUCUAACCCCUUGGGGGGUUUGAUUUCGAUAGCGACAACAAACGAGGGACGUGAACAGGAUUUGACCUCAGGGAUGUCAUGUACAAUUUCACUUCUUUCGAUGCCGCUUGUCACUUAAUCGCUCCUCCUCUAAGGAAGUUCAGGGGUUCCCUCCCUUGUGCACCGAAACCCUUUGCCUAUGUCCUCUCUAUUAUUAUUUGGGUAGCUUUCCUUCUAUGACUCAUAUGUUUUAAGACUGUCUCAACGAUGUAUAUAUCCGAUCUAUAACCGUAAAUGCAUACUCUAUCUUGAUUUAGUGUCUUCCAACGAGCUACCUUACGAUCUCUAGACGCCGCACGGAGGACUCUUCAAGUGUUGCCGAACGAGCUCAUAGUCGUUCGAGCUGUUUGACUGUAAGCUUCUGUACUUUUUUUUUCUUGACUGAGACGAGUCGAAUAGGGACCUAGGACGAGGACAAAGAGGGUGGUCCGAACGCAAACGUUGAGUAAAGAUCGCGCGGAAGUAUUCGGAGGACACGUUGCGAGUCAAGCUUCUAGAGAGGUGCAUCCUAGAGAAGGACUGUAUGAGGGACUUGUCGCUAAUGGGGGACUGCGACGGCCAAAUGCAGCUGACCUCUUUCGGUAGACUCAGGCCACGCUGGUAUAUAUAAGGCCGCACCCAUAAGCUGACUCUCGGUUUUUCCGGACAACAACCACCUCUUUGAACUAAUGGACGUCAGCAGGUUUGACAACGUCUUAUAAAAGAAGUCGGAAAGGUUUGGGAACUACGUGGUUCCUCCUGUGAAACUACACGAUGACGACGAGGACAUGCGCCAUCCACGUGAGCUACAAGUUGGAGCGGCGGCGAGCCCGUGACGAGGACACGAUGACUGCCUUUACUGUGGUUCAACGAAGUAGCGCACCUAAGAGCGACUAGUCUAGGUUAACAUUUCGAUCGUGUCAAAAAAAAAAGGUUGGACUUCCACCGUAGGUCUCUUUUGAUGAAAGUCUUGUUGACUAGUAAAGAGAGCAAAAAUCUAUGAUCGAAUUAGCUCAAGUCGGAAGUUGUACUACAUAAACUUAUGUUGUGAAAGAUAGUUUCUAAAGUCUGUCCAAGUCCACUCAUCAGUAUAGUGAACGUCUCUACACUUAAAGUCCCUUCAAGGUGAAGACUUAGACUCGUUUUUUAUUAUCAAAG